This 253-nucleotide ribosomal RNA is filed under the name uncultured bacterium. RNAcentral's name for it is "partial 16S ribosomal RNA". It matches the Rfam family "Bacterial small subunit ribosomal RNA", at positions 524 to 776 of the family's 1533-position model. The record is from RNAcentral.
GACAGAGGGUGCAAACGUUGUUCGGAAUUACUGGGCGUAAAGCGCGUGUAGGCGGCCCUGCAAGUCGGGUGUGAAAUCCCACGGCUCAACCGUGGAAGUGCAUUCGAAACUGCAGGGCUAGAGUCCUGGAGAGGAAGGUGGAAUGCUUGGUGUAGAGGUGAAAUUCGUAGAUAUCAAGCGGAGCACCGGUGGCGAAGGCGGCCUUCUGGACAGUGACUGACGCUGAGACGCGAAAGCGUGGGGAGCAAACAGG